GAUGAACGCUGGCGGCGUGCCUAAUACAUGCAAGUCGAGCGAAUGGAUUAAGAGCUUGCUCUUAUGAAGUUAGCGGCGGACGGGUGAGUAACACGUGGGUAACCUGCCCAUAAGACUGGGAUAACUCCGGGAAACCGGGGCUAAUACCGGAUAACAUUUUGAACCGCAUGGUUCGAAAUUGAAAGGCGGCUUCGGCUGUCACUUAUGGAUGGACCCGCGUCGCAUUAGCUAGUUGGUGAGGUAACGGCUCACCAAGGCAACGAUGCGUAGCCGGCCUGAGAGGGUGAGCGGCCACACUGGGACUGAGACACGGCCCAGACUCCUACGGGAGGCAGCAGUAGGGAAUCUUGCGCAAUGGACGAAAGUCUGACGGAGCAACGCCGCGUGAGUGAUGAAGGCUUUCGGGUCGUAAAACUCUGUUGUUAGGGAAGAACAAGUGCUAGUUGAAUAAGCUGGCACCUUGACGGUACCUAACCAGAAAGCCACGGCUAACUACGUGCCAGCAGCCGCCGUAA
RNAcentral lists this ribosomal RNA (515 nucleotides) under uncultured bacterium. RNAcentral's name for it is "partial 16S ribosomal RNA". It matches the Rfam family "Bacterial small subunit ribosomal RNA", at positions 28 to 523 of the family's 1533-position model. The record is from RNAcentral.